ACAAUUGCAAGUCAACUCCAGCUAAAGCCAAGUCCAGUACUCCAUGGGUCAAAAAUCAAGGAAAAUGUGAGAUGGUUAAGUUGUUGGAAGAAUGAUCAGCUUCUGCAGCUUCUUGACUUUUUUUUUUUCUGAUGUCAUUUUCUACAUGUUUUCAUUGAUCUUAACUCAGUUUACUUACUUGUAUUUUCUAGAAUCCUGAAGAUAUUUAGCAGGUUGAGAGGAGACAAAAUAAAAGCAAAGAGAUAUCCAAACAUGAUAGGAAACCUGGAACCAUUUAUACUUCUUUCAAAGCAUCUCUUGGGCCAAGGUUUUCAGCUCCAGAGGACUGAAUGUUACUCCUCCCACGGAAGGAGAUGACACGGAGCUGGUUCUGGUACAUAGCCCACAGGGAGAAGCAUACUGCAUUCUGUUCCAUUAUAAUUUGGGCACUUUUUUCUUCAGCCAGCACUCUCUGUCACCUAAGUUAACACAUACAUCUACUUGUCCAGAUCUUUCGUCUCUGUCAUAUAUGGUUCCCAAUGAACCAUUAGCAAAUAUAGGUUGCCAAAGAGACAUGUGGGAAAAGGACUUUACACAUCUUAGAUGGCGCCUAAAAGUUAAUUCUCUCAUUUUAUUUCCCUUUAAUUUUUAAGGCUCUAUUGCUUUCCCUGUUUUUUCUUGGUCACAUGGUAAAUGGGUCAGAAUCAGAAGGGCCAGUAAAUUAUAUUGGCUACUGUAGAGAUCCCAUUCCCUUGAAGUAUACUUUAAUGAGGAAUACAGAUGAAGAUAAAAAGAUAGAAACAAAUACCAUGAUAUUCGUGGAAUUAAAAACUGGUUUCACACAGAUAAACCAGAUUUAUGGAGAGAGAUGUUUUCUUAUUAACUUCUCUCAAGUGGAGCCUUCCAAAUAUCUGUGAUUUUCUGAUAUUUUGCAAGGAACCCCUAAAAGUUUUUUUAACCUACAUUAGUAAAACUUAGUUAAAAAAAAAAAGAUAAUAAAACAUCCCUAUAAAUAUGAUGUUUGACAUCAUCUGACCCUGACUGGAUGAUCCUGACUGGAUGCUAGGCAAGUGCCCAGGUCCUCCAGUCGGUCAUCUAGACAUCUUAGUUCUCACUGGCUGAGAGAGGUCAUGUUUUAUUACAUAAGCAUGAGUGUUAUAUGGAAGGAGACAUAAGAAUUACCACAUGCAUUUAAAGUGCUUUCCAUUCAAAGGUCUUAAAACCAUAGUGAGAGUAAAUUGGAUGGCUUCGUCUUGCUUUUUCAGAUAUUAAAAAAAAAAAAAAAAGGAUAGUACUGGCUGGGCGCCCUGGCUCAUGUUUGUAAUCCCAGCACUUUGGGAGGCCAAGGCAGGUGGAUCACGAGGUCAGGAGAUCGAGACCAUCCUGGCUAACACAGUGAAACCCUGUCUCUUCUAAAAAUACAUAAAAUUAGCCAGGUGUGGUGGUGGCCACCUGUAGUCCCAGCUACUUGGGAGGCUGAGGCAGGAGAAUGGUGUGAACCCAAGAGGCAGAGCUUGCAGUGAGCCGAGAUUGUGCCACUGCACUCCAGCCUGGAUGACAGAGGGAGACUCCGUCUCAAAAAAAAAAAAAAAAAA
Long non-coding RNA from Macaca fascicularis (crab-eating macaque), 1574 nucleotides. The record is from Ensembl. Lineage: Eukaryota; Metazoa; Chordata; Mammalia; Primates; Cercopithecidae.